GUCUGAAUACGCACGUUCACGCUGCGUGUCUGAGAAGUCAGGGAUAUAUCAGACACGUGAUGUCUGAUAUAUGCACGUUUACCUUGCGUGGUUGACUUUAUAAAAGGUCACAACCUCCAACUCUAGCUCGCACCACGAGCUGGACGCUUCCCUCGACGUGUGCUCUUCAGAGUCCAGGAUAAGUCCUUAAGUACAUCUUGGCGAACCCUUAGGUUACCUCGAGCUAAGGAGGUAGGAUCUUACGAUGGCAGCUCCGGCUUUGGGAAUGUCCACGAGGUAAUUAGGGUUAGGCGUAGCUCAGCUCGCUAAUCAGGCCGUGGGAAAAUCAGGGCGUACAAGUACUAAGAUAAUUUAGUCAAGUCCAGUACAGUCCACUCCUUACUAAUAAUCCAGUCCAGUCCUGCAUUCCAAGUGAGCCCUCAAAACCCAGCCGUCUCCCUCUUUCUUUCUUUCUUUCUUUUUUUUUUCUUUCUUUCUCUUCUCUCUUCUCCUAAUACCUAUUUUUCUUUCUCUAAUCUGCCUCCCUCACUCACCAUCUAGGUCGAAGGCAACACACCGCCUGGGUCGAAGGCGGCGCUCCGCCUCACUCUCAUCGCCUUGGUCAAUGCCGCCUCUCUCUCUCCAUCUGGGACUUGCAUUUUCUAGCUUUCUUUAAAGCUACAAGAAGAAGUUUGAAUCCUACUAAUUUUUGGACUAGCAGUACUUUGAUUACCUUUUCUACAUUGAUUUUGAGGCAUCUAUGGCAGAACCACGUGCACAGAGUGCUUUAGAGCAGUUGCAGGAACUUGCAACUUAUCUUCGGGUACUUGGUUGCUACGCCAUGGAUACAACUCAAUAACCAACUAUAUCUGCAUUUCUCCUCCAUGUGCUUAACCUUAUCACGUGGGAGGAAGAGAAUAUGGCCAAUCAUUUCAUGAAGUGGUCUCUGUUCUCAUACAAGAAAAAGGAUGCCUAGUGUCCACAAUUUCAAAUCACUCCUCAUGCCAUUCGAGUCUU
Long non-coding RNA from Humulus lupulus (European hop), 996 nucleotides. RefSeq lists it as uncharacterized. The record is from RefSeq and is a predicted model, not a curated record. The transcript has 3 exons. NCBI's taxonomy places the organism in Eukaryota, Viridiplantae, Streptophyta, Magnoliopsida, Rosales, Cannabaceae.